Molecule: ribosomal RNA, 254 nt
Filed under: uncultured microorganism
Description: partial 16S ribosomal RNA
Rfam family: Archaeal small subunit ribosomal RNA
Source: RNAcentral
CACCGGCGGCCCGAGUGGUGACCACUUUUAUUGGGUCUAAAGCGUCCGUAGCCGGCUUGGCAAGUCCCCUGGGAAAUCUGGCGGCUUAACCGUCAGGCGUCCAGAGGAUACUGCCAGGCUUGGGACCGGGAGAGGUGAGAGGUACCUCAGGGGUAGGGGUGAAAUCUUGUGAUCCCUGAGGGACCACCAGUGGCGAAGGCGUCUCACUAGAACGGGUCCGACGGUCAGGGACGAAAGCUGGGGGCACGAACCGG